GUGUCUCUCUCCCGCUCAGGAUCUCGCGCUGGUCGUUAAGUCACGUCGAGUUGUCCUGUGCGGAACCGGAGGUCCUGUCACCCGCCCUGACCGUGAGCCCUGGAAACCACACGGAGCGGCGCCGCCCAGCGGAGCAGCAGCAGCAGCAGCAGCAUCCCCUGCAGGAGCGGUGUGAGAGACCCAAAGCAGUUGAUUUCGUGAGACAUCAUCAUCAGUUUGGGGUGUCUCUCCGAUAGGCCAAUGCAGCUGUGGCUCAGCUGCGAAUGAAGUAUCCUUGCAGUCCGGUCGGGGGAGGAUCACUCGACUCACAAGAAACAGAAAAUGACACCCUUGAGGACAAAGAGCUGACUAUCUUCCUGUUCACUUGAGCUCUGUGAAGCGGUGGGGAGUUGGCAUUGGUUUCCAAGGCAUGUCAUAGCAUAUCAGAUGCUGUCCACACAAGAGCCAUCGUUCAUGUGACAAUAUGAAAUGGUGAAGCAAAUAUGUUGUCUUCUGGAUUAACAUCUGCCAGACUUUAGACUAUGCCAUCAUUUCAUAAACUUUUGUUAACUCCAGCAAUUUCAGUAAGAAGGAAACAGCAGAAAUUCCAGAACUUCUGAAAUCAUUCUAAACUUAACAGGCGGAAAAGAAUAGCAACGUAUAACAACUGUUGAGAAGAAUAACAACGUAUAACAACUGUCAAAUAAAGUGCACAACUCAGCUGUCCAUCAUCAUCUUUGACUUUGUGAUCAAAAUACUCAAGCAAGAGGUUUCAGGUCUGAAUCAAGACACUUUCCAUUGAUGCAAGACUUUUGCUUGCUGUUCUGGAGUUCUAUCAACUGAUUCCAUCGAA
Callorhinchus milii (elephant shark) is the source of this 832-nucleotide long non-coding RNA. RefSeq lists it as uncharacterized. The transcript is spliced from 3 exons. The record is from RefSeq and is a predicted model, not a curated record. Lineage: Eukaryota; Metazoa; Chordata; Chondrichthyes; Chimaeriformes; Callorhinchidae.